RNAcentral lists this long non-coding RNA (210 nucleotides) under Mytilus galloprovincialis (Mediterranean mussel). The record is from RNAcentral. Lineage: Eukaryota; Metazoa; Mollusca; Bivalvia; Mytilida; Mytilidae.
UGGCCCAGUAGUUUCAGAGGAGAAGAUUUUUGUAAAAGAUUACUAAGAUUUACGAAAAAUGGUUAAAAAUUGACUAUAAAGGGCAAUAAACUCCUAAAGGGGUCAACUGACCAUUUCCGUCAUGUUGACUUAUUUGUAAAUCUUACUUUGCUGAACAUUAUUCCUGUCUACAGUUUAUCUCUAUCUAUAAUAAUAUUCAAGAUAAUAACC